This 870-nucleotide ribosomal RNA is filed under the name Triticum aestivum (bread wheat). Its description in RNAcentral is "partial small subunit ribosomal RNA". The record is from RNAcentral. Lineage: Eukaryota; Viridiplantae; Streptophyta; Magnoliopsida; Poales; Poaceae.
AUGUUCGAGGAGAUGGCCGCCGAUUCCAGCAUGGGCAUGGGGAUGGGCUUCCACCAGGGGGCCUCCUCCUUGCACCACCACCGCCAUAACAUGCUCUCCUUCCAAUCCAAUCCCGAUUCCGCCCCCGCCCCCGCCCCCGCGCCCCCUGCCCCUCCCGUCUUCCUCCCCUCCCCCAACGCUCCCGUGCUCCAGGGGGCGCCGCCCAAGUACAAGUUCGUCACCGGCUCACCCUCCGACUGGACCCCCUAUGAGCUCUCCAUAUUCCAAGAGGGCCUCGCCAGGUAUGCUCGUGAGCCCACCAUUAUGAAAUACAUCAAGAUUGCUGCUAUGCUGCCCACUAAGACCAUCAGGGACGUCGCGUUAAGAUGCCGAUGGACUGCUGGAAAGGAGAGUAGGAGGAGGAAACCUGAUGAAUUCUAUGCUGGGAAAAGGAUAAGGGACUUGAAGGAGAAAAUGGUUGUUUCUACCUCACUAGCCAAUUUUCAGAUGGCACCUCCAAAUAAUCUAGUCCCCUUCUCGAUGUCGAUGCAUCAUCCAGGUCAGAAUAGCCUGGCUACAAAUGAAGCAGUCCUCGUUUUAGAUAAUGCAACUCAGCAUCUUCUGGAGGAAAAUAACCAGUUACUCAAUCAGAUCUCUGCAAAUAUUGAAACUUUCAAGCUGGGGGAGAACAUGGAUCUCUUUCUACGCACGAAUAACAAUAUUCAAACAAUUUUGAAAAGAAUGAGUGAGACGCCUGGUGUCAUGGGUCAGAUGCGUCCCUUGCCAGAACCUGUAAAUGAAGGCCAACUAAAUUCACUUCUUCAACUGGAUAGAGUGGUUGCCUCUUAUGGCGAUAUACUACAUAACACUCGUAUGAAGGAUGAAGCAUGA